CGGUCACUAUCUAAGAGGUUGUUCUAUUCUAACUAACUUGCAGCUUUACGAUCACAGUGUUGCAGGUUAGUGCUGCGUUGGUCAAAGUCUCGCAUGUCUGCGCAGGUAUUUCUUGCUCUUCGUUCCAUCCAACCAUCUUUGAUAAUGUUGAAGGAUGACUUGCCUCUUUAGUUGUCUUUCUUUGUUCUGCGCUGAUAAACGUG
RNAcentral lists this long non-coding RNA (203 nucleotides) under Salvia miltiorrhiza (redroot sage). RNAcentral describes it as "long non-coding RNA (SMIL_LNC010664)". Lineage: Eukaryota; Viridiplantae; Streptophyta; Magnoliopsida; Lamiales; Lamiaceae. The record is from RNAcentral.